This 453-nucleotide ribosomal RNA is filed under the name uncultured bacterium. RNAcentral describes it as "SSU rRNA". It matches the Rfam family "Bacterial small subunit ribosomal RNA", at positions 26 to 518 of the family's 1533-position model. The record is from RNAcentral.
AGAACGAACGCUGGCGGCGCGCUUAACACAUGCAAGUCGAACGCACCACUUUCGGGUGGUGAGUGGCGCACGGGUGAGUAACGCGUGGGAACCUACCUCGGGGUUCGGGACAACGGCGGGAAACUGCCGCUAACACCGGAUACGGCCUUCGCAAGGAGGCGAAAGUUUACGCCCUGGGAUGGGCCCGCGUCGGAUUAGCUAGUUGGUGGGGUAAUGGCCUACCAAGGCUGCGAUCCGUAGCCGGUCUGAGAGGAUGAUCGGCCACACUGGGACUGAGACACGGCCCAGACUCCUACGGGAGGCAGCAGUGGGGAAUCUGGACAAUGGGCGCAAGCCUGAUCCAGCGACGCCGCGUGGGUGACGAAGGCCUUCGGGUUGUAAAGCCCUUUUGCCGGGGACGAUGAUGACGGUACCCGGAGAAUAAGGACCGGCUAACUCCGUGCCAGCAGCCGC